AUUUUUUUUUCAAUAAAUCAAGUUUACUGUUUCCACCUAAACCCCCGUGAUGUGAAUCUCUUGUUGGAGUUGAUUGCAGCAGGAUUUCCCCAGGAGCCCCCUGCCCUGUGGAGCCUGGAAAGUUCAUCAGAGGAGCAGUGGAAGUGGUUAAAAGUGAGAAAUUCCAGUGCAAAAAUCCAACCUGGUUUUGGUGGCUGGGACGUGGAGAAGAUUGUGUGGCCACCAGCUCUUCACCUUCUCCACAGCAGCAGAAACAUCACCAGAGGAGCUUUUCUCUUCCUGAUCUUCCCAUCCCAAGACAAAUUCAGGAAAAAAAAACAUUUUUCCAGCUUCUUGGUUUCACUCCAGGAUCCUCUGGAAUUCCCUGUGGGAAACCACACCAGUGGCUGCCACCGGAUCCGGGUCACUCUGGUUCUCAGGGGCUUCUUCAAACAGCCCCUGGCUGGUGCUGCAGUUCCAGGAGAUGCUGGACCUUCAGGAGGAGAUGUUUGGAGCACUGCAGCCCUGCUCUGGAGGAAGAGGCCCAGCCCCUCGUGCUGCUCUGUGACUCGUGACUCCCUGGUUUUUGGAUUCCCUUGGCUUGCUUCAGCUGCACUCCAUCACCUUAAGAUUUUUCCCAUCCUGGGGCAUCGUGGCAGCAAAGUGAUUUUCUCCAGAGACACAAACCCGGUUCUUCCCACAGCCCUUGCCUGCUCCUACCUCGGCAGCAAACAAAACCCUCCCAAUUCCCGCUGGUACUAA
RNAcentral lists this long non-coding RNA (741 nucleotides) under Cyanistes caeruleus (blue tit). RNAcentral's name for it is "lncRNA (ENSCCEG00000006525.1)". Lineage: Eukaryota; Metazoa; Chordata; Aves; Passeriformes; Paridae. The record is from RNAcentral.